Molecule: long non-coding RNA, 593 nt
Organism: Solanum lycopersicum (tomato)
Lineage: Eukaryota; Viridiplantae; Streptophyta; Magnoliopsida; Solanales; Solanaceae
Source: RefSeq, a predicted model, not a curated record
UUUUGAGAAGCAAUGCAAUAUAUUCAGUACACCAUAAUUAAUUAACUUCAUAAAUUAAAGCUUCUCCAAGUAAUGGCAUCAUUUAAAUUUGGUUUGAUCUUCACUGCACUUCUUCUCGUCAUGGCAACCACUAUGGAUGUGAUGUGGUUCUCGAAGACCAAAGUUAUGGCUGCAAGAAAUGUCGAUCUUCAUGUAUUAUCAAGGAGACUACUUCCACAACUUAACGAUAUAAUUACAUGUGGGACUCUGUGUGGUCCUCAUAGUCCUACUGAUUACGAUUGCAGUGAUUGUUGGUAUUGUUGUGACUGCAGACAAGAAGCUUGGGAUCUUAACAUUUUUCGUUGUGGGUACCCAGAGUAGCAAGACAAGAACCUUUGUUUUUCUCCUACAAUAACAAAUGAAUACUACUACUUUUCUUUUCAAUUUACUUGUCAAGAAUAACAAACUCAAACUUCUAACACUUUGGUUAGGUGGGUUGUCGUGUAUUCUUUUCUAGUGUAUCGUAUUGUAUUGUAUAGUUUAGUGUUAUGUUGUAUCGUAUUGUAUUUUUUUAAUGAAUAUUUUUUCUGUCCCACAAUAGUUAUUCAGUGUCC